Molecule: long non-coding RNA, 601 nt
Organism: Heterocephalus glaber (naked mole-rat)
Lineage: Eukaryota; Metazoa; Chordata; Mammalia; Rodentia; Bathyergidae
Source: Ensembl
GAAAUAGAGUGGUGGAAGGGGCUGGCGGAAGACAGCUGCUCCCCCCAUGGCAGCCAGGAAGCCAAGAGGAGGGAGGGCCUGGGGACAAGAAAACAGCCUUCCAAGGCACACCCUAGGGACCCCCUCUAGCUAGACCCCGCCUCCUAACAACGCAAAAAUCGUCAGUGGAGAAAUCCACUGGUGAGCACAGUGGUACCACAUUCCAAUCACUAGCCAAAAUCCCAUCUCUGAACACAUGAAACUUUUGGGAGUCAUUUUGUAGAUCUAAACCAUAACUAAGAUUCAAUUCAAGCAUUACCUUACCAUAUCAGACUGGAAAGAGAUGUCUCGAGAAUUCCUAAUGCUACUCUGAACCGCAAGACCUGCCGACGUCUAUAAAGCCAGAGAUGUGUAGAACUUAGGGCUACUCUGACAUUGUCACAGUAUCUUCUGUCUGUGUCUGCAAGAAGAUUUGUGAAGCCGAGUGUGUAAGUUAGACAGAACUGUCUUCGUGAAAGGAGGAGGGCUGUGCUUGGCUUGGCCCAAAACUUCUUUCCAGAGGCGCGUGACUGACCAAACACCCACGGCGAGGGGAGUCUGACCCAGGAUCCGCGCAGCGCAC